RNAcentral lists this long non-coding RNA (761 nucleotides) under Heterocephalus glaber (naked mole-rat). Its description in RNAcentral is "lncRNA (ENSHGLG00000036141.1)". Lineage: Eukaryota; Metazoa; Chordata; Mammalia; Rodentia; Bathyergidae. The record is from RNAcentral.
GAACUAUGAGCCAAAUAAAUCUCUCUGCUUUAUAAAGUACCUGGUCUGUAGUAUUUUACUACAGCAUUAGUAAAUGGACUAUUAGUAAAUGGACUAUGACAUUGGCAAAAACUAGAUUCUAAUCCUUGUUCUGCCAAAGGUUCUGGAAAUAAGCCUCAACUUUGCCAUGUCACUGUAACGUUUAUACUAUUGUGCUCCACAUUCUAAGGACUGCUGUUACCAACCUGUUUGCUCAGAUGCAAAGUAAAAUGCUUUAAAUUUAUGUAAAGGUUCUAAAUUGCCCAGGCUGGCCUUGAAACUGCAGUCAUCCUGCCUCAGCUGGAUGGAUAGCUGGGAUUAUAGGCAUACACCACUACGCCCACCGAAAGUCCAAGUCUUCACAAUGGCCUAGGCUGUCAGAGCUUUUGCUAAGAGGGAACACACAACCAUACUGCUGCAAGUGAAAUCUGCAGUCUGCACUAUUGGAUUGGUUUUGCACGUGGUCUGUUACUAUGUUCAAAGCAUUAAAGAAUCUGCAAGUGGAUUAUCUACAGAGCUUCUCUCUUCACAGAGCUGCAGUUCGGCCUCUUCACUUUCUCUCUCUUGCUUCUCACGAAGACCCUUUGUUUGCUGCCAGCAUCUGCCUACACUGGGUACUAACUUGACCUGGCAUGAUUCUCCCUAUCCCUAGAAGAAACAGCCCACACCUACAUGCCAGGAUGAACUAAGAUUGCUGAGCAAAGCUAGCAACCUUUCUCUGAAGUGGUGUCACAUGCAGACAG